This 254-nucleotide ribosomal RNA is filed under the name uncultured bacterium. Its description in RNAcentral is "partial 16S ribosomal RNA". It matches the Rfam family "Bacterial small subunit ribosomal RNA", at positions 524 to 776 of the family's 1533-position model. The record is from RNAcentral.
GACGAACCGAGCGAACGUUGUUCGGAAUAACUGGGCUUAAAGGGCGCGUAGGCGGGCCGCCAAGUUCGAGGUGAAAUCCUCCGGCUCAACCGGAGAACUGCCUCGAAUACUGGAGGUCUCGAGGCGGGUAGGGGCAUGCGGAACUGUGGGUGGAGCGGUGAAAUGCGUUGAUAUCCACAGGAACGUCCGGUGGCGAAGGCGGCAUGCUGGACCCGAUCUGACGCUGAGGCGCGAAAGCCAGGGGAGCAAACGGG